CGGCGCCGCCUUCCUCCUCUUCAACUUGGACGACGAGGAGGAUGAUGCUGAUGAGGAGAGCGACUUCUUGACGCCCCCGCCGCCGCCGCCGAGGAACGGCACGAUGGCGCGGGACGAGAAGGACGCCGCGACCCCGUCCCGCGGGCGCAGGCGGCGCGCCGCCCGCGACAGGCGCCGCGCGCACGUGCCCACCAGCGCCGCCACCGCCUGGGCGAGGCUCAUCCCCAUCGCCCGCCGUCUCCCUGCCCUGCUCUGCUCUGUAGUCUGUACUUGGAAGGCUUGUCGAGCGCGCUUUGAUUCGCUUCCCUUUCCCUGCGGCUGCUUG
RNAcentral lists this unclassified non-coding RNA (325 nucleotides) under Zea mays. RNAcentral's name for it is "misc RNA Zm00001eb252500". The record is from RNAcentral. Lineage: Eukaryota; Viridiplantae; Streptophyta; Magnoliopsida; Poales; Poaceae.